UAACCCAUCAAUAAAAUGCCAACUUCAAAAAGAUAGAAAAAAGACAGGAACAAAAAGGAUUGCAAGAACGAAAGCAGUAGAGUUAGAGAUUGCAAGAGGUUAGAGUACCACAAACCAAAAUGGGAAGUCGGAGGUACAAUCAAUUUGGCUCU
Arachis ipaensis is the source of this 152-nucleotide non-coding RNA. NCBI's taxonomy places the organism in Eukaryota, Viridiplantae, Streptophyta, Magnoliopsida, Fabales, Fabaceae. The record is from RefSeq and is a predicted model, not a curated record.